ACCUCACAAGGGCAAACCCGCCGAAAGGCGGGGACGCAAAGUCACCGGUCUAAAAGGCUAGCGCCUCACGACAGCGGGAUUGCAAGG
RNAcentral lists this non-coding RNA (87 nucleotides) under Hydrogenophilaceae bacterium. RNAcentral describes it as "c-di-GMP sequence". It matches the Rfam family "c-di-GMP-I riboswitch aptamer". From Rfam's summary of the family: GEMM was predicted in a large-scale screen for bacterial structured RNA regulatory elements. Genes associated with GEMM are involved in a diverse array of functions, including chemotaxis regulation, signal transduction, secretion and chitin. The record is from RNAcentral. Lineage: Bacteria; Pseudomonadati; Pseudomonadota; Hydrogenophilia; Hydrogenophilales; Hydrogenophilaceae.